This 497-nucleotide ribosomal RNA is filed under the name uncultured bacterium. RNAcentral describes it as "partial 16S ribosomal RNA". It matches the Rfam family "Bacterial small subunit ribosomal RNA", at positions 28 to 507 of the family's 1533-position model. The record is from RNAcentral.
GAUGAACGCUGGCGGCGUGCCUAAUACAUGCAAGUCGAGCGAACGGACGAGAAGCUUGCUUUUCUGAUGUUAGCGGCGGACGGGUGAGUAACACGUGGAUAACCUACCUAUAAGACUGGGAUAACUUCGGGAAACCGGAGCUAAUACCGGAUAAUAUUUUGAACCGCAUGGUUCUAAAGUGAAAGACGGUCUUGCUGUCACUUAUAGAUGGAUCCGCGCUGCAUUAGCUAGUUGGUAAGGUAACGGCUUACCAAGGCAACGAUGCAUAGCCGACCUGAGAGGGUGAUCGGCCACACUGGAGCUGAGACACGGUCCAGACUCCUACGGGAGGCAGCAGUAGGGAAUCUUCCGCAAUGGGCGAAAGCCUGACGGAGCAACGCCGCGUGAGUGAUGAAGGUCUUCGGAUCGUAAAACUCUGUUAUUAGGGAAGAACAUAUGUGUAAGUAACUGUGCACAUCUUGACGGUACCUAAUCAGAAAGCCACGGCUAACUACGUG